Molecule: RNA transcript, 2313 nt
Organism: Vigna radiata var. radiata (mung bean)
Lineage: Eukaryota; Viridiplantae; Streptophyta; Magnoliopsida; Fabales; Fabaceae
Gene name: plant-specific TFIIB-related protein PTF2-like
Exons: 5
Source: RefSeq, a predicted model, not a curated record
UUUAAUUAAAUUUGUAAAACUCUCUGGAACGAGGGGUUUCAUGUCUCCUUCUUCUUGCAGCUACUGUGGCAAAACCUCAUUUAUCCGCGACGAUGAAUCUGGUGCGUUGAUAUGUUCUUCUUGCGGUUGCAUUCAGCAAUUCGACCAAUUUGAAGCCCAAAUCGGCGGCAUCGAUGGUCCCCAGGGUACUUUCAUCCAUGUGGGCACCGCCGGUUCCGGCAGCGUAUAUUCUUAUAGAGAGAGGAAACACUUUAGCGCAAAAAGCACCAUCGAGGAAGUAACCUACAGUCUAGGGUUAUCUUCCAAGAACAGCGACGUUAGGAGCAUGGUGUACACCAUAACCGAUGGUGAGUUUGGCCAGGGUGAGUGGUUCCGCGUGCUCGUCGGCGCGUGCGCGUAUGUUGUGAUGCGGAGGGAGGACCGACCCUUGCCCAUGGCGGAGAUUGCCUCCACGGUGGGGUGCGACAUCUAUGAAAUCGGUAAGAUGAUUCAGCGUGUUGUUGAUUUUUUGGAUCUGAGACCUGAUUUUCCGGAGUUUGACAUUGUGCAUUCGUUGGAAAGAACAAUAAAAAAUUCGAGUGUUUUUUCCUCUGUUGAGAGCGGUGUGAUUGAGAAGAUGCGGAAACAGGGGGUGUUUUUGAUUCAAUGUGCGGUGAAGUGGUUUUUGAGCACCGGUCGCCGGCCCCUUCCGCUGGUGGUGGCGGUCUUGGUGUUUGUGGCGGAGUUGAAUGGGGUCGUGGUGGUGAUGGAGGAAUUGGCUAAGGAAGUUCAUGCUACGGUUUCAACUUGUAGGCUAAGAUAUAAGGAGUUGCUUCAGACGCUUGUGAAGGCUGCGCAGGUGUUGCCUUGGGGUAAGGAUGUUACUGUUAAAAACAUUGUUAAGAAUGCGCCUUUGGUGAUUCGGUAUAUGGAGAGGAAGGUUAUGUUGAAUCCUGGGGAGACUCAGGAGAAGAGGAAGGGUCUUGAUCGAGCUGCGGUGGACUUGGAGGAUGUGGUUGCUGAAUGCUUGAGACAUGACAAUGAAUUUGAAUACGGCGUUGAUGGCGUGACUUCGCGUAAGGAUUUACAGUAUUUUUCGUUGGAGAGUAAAAGUGUUGAGGAUGCUGACAGAAUGCAGAUUUCCACUGAAUGCUUGUCUGUGAUGUAUAAGAAGUUUUUAGAUCAAAAUCGUUGUGCUGAGCCAUUGCGAGGGAGCGGGAAUGCUCGGAAAAGGAUUAUUUUUCAAUUUGAUAUUCUGGAGUGUAGGGAGUGGUGGGAUGGAAAAUCUGAAUUGAGCAAGAAGCUUAUGCUUAAGGAACUAAUGGAGAAGGAUGUUGGUGUGGAUACAAUGCCGCCAUCAUUUGUCAACGGUCAAUUGAAAUGUAAAAUGAGGAAGGAGAAAAUCAAUGCUGCUAAGUUGCGGAUAAAACGAAUUAUGCAUCCAGUAGAUGCUAAUCUAGGUGAUGUUUCUGUCCCUUUAGAUAGCUCUUGUCCUGAAAGAAGGAGGAAGAGAAAAGGAAUGGUAGUGGACGAUGUUGAUUGGGAAGACCUUAUUAUUGAGACCCUUGUUCUUCAUCAAGUAAAAGAUGAAGAAAUUGAGAAGGGGCAUUACAAUACCUUACUGGAUCUACAUGUGUUCAACUCUGGCAUUGUAUGAGAGGGUUUGGGAAGAUUUGUUUUUAAGCUGGUCUGUUUAUCAGUGGCUGUGACCGUAAAUGCCUGUGGUUCCCACGAAUUUGGAAUGAUUGUCCGAAACUGUAGCUACAUAUAUCUAUAUAAGGAAAAAGAAGGAUUCACAUGGAGGCAAAUGGUAUUCUCUCUUCUCGACCUCCUUUAUGCUCUAUUAAAAUUUUGUUUUACUUGUUGAACUGGUUGUCCUUGCUGCAUCCAUUGUGAGCAAAUAUGGAAAGAUUUCAUCACUCUCGUUCUCGUUCUCUGGUUGUCUUCCUCUGGUUCUCGUGCUCUGGUCGUCCUCUCGGAAUCGUGGUCUCGUUCUCAGGCAUUGUCGUCAUUCUCGCGGUCUUGGAAUCAUGGUCUCUUUCUCGUGUUCUCGAAAUCGUGGUGUCGUUCUCAAUUCUUAGGCUUUAUCGGUGCUUGGGUAUUGUGGUUUUGUUCUUAUAUUUGGGGUCCAAUGGCAUCAAGAAAACAAAGUGUAAGAUGAUAUCAUAAUAUAAGUUCACAUUAAUGGAUGUCACUGUAAUAUUAACCACCCAAUAUCGGUGUGAACCACAUUAGACAUCCACAAUUUAAGUUCAAGUUAUGUUGUUUUUAUAUUUCAUCAAAAGUGUUUUUAUGCUUUCUUCGAAUGAAUGAAUGUGGGUGAACUAUUGAAAA